GGCUUCGUAACUCAGCUGAUAAAGCGCUUGCGGCAUUGAGGUAUGCUGUGUCUGUCGCUGGUUCGAAUCCAGCCGAAGCCC
Molecule: transfer RNA, 81 nt
Filed under: Paragonimus westermani
Lineage: Eukaryota; Metazoa; Platyhelminthes; Trematoda; Plagiorchiida; Troglotrematidae
Description: tRNA-Leu
Rfam family: tRNA
About the family: Transfer RNA (tRNA) molecules are approximately 80 nucleotides in length. Their secondary structure includes four short double-helical elements and three loops (D, anti-codon, and T loops).
Source: RNAcentral